UUGCUCUUGCAUAUUGUGACGGAUUGGGCCAAGGCGGUGGCCUGUGAGGAGAGGGUUCCCCCGAGGCGAGUGACGGCUGCGGUCCUGACCUAUGGUUCUUACACGUUAGGGGGUUUGGACAUCAAUGCUAUUCUCGAUUUUGUGGCUUUCGUACCAUUCUCUUGGGAAUGAUUGUUCUGUGUGAUCUAUCAUGGUUAUUCUCUUCAGCAUCCAGUCCUAUGCUAGCAAGAGUGAUGACACAAGUGGAUAUGCCAAGCAAAUAUGUCCUGCUUGGAUCAUAUAUGCUUCUGUAACAACACUGAUUCAGAUUGAUACCUUCUAUUAAUUGGCUGGUGGCAGUGGCGACGCAUCAAGGUGCAAGGCAGCGGCGGCAAGUUCAUACUAUGGGAAAGGAAGAUCUCCUACUAUUUUUUAUGCUCCAUGGCAUAGACAUUUGAUUAAGUCAAAGGCAACAUGACUAUCUGAUAUGUUAUCGAUGUCUAAAACCCAUCUUAAGUUUUGUAUCUUAUUGAUUCGGUCAUUUACUCUGGUAAAAAGUGUUAAUGAUGGAGAAAUGGGUGAGUUAAAUAAUGCAAACCAGCAAACUAUAGAUGGAUUAGUUACGCGUGCAUCUAACUGAAGUUUGUAUAUCAUGACGAUCAUCACUUCUAAGUGAAUACUGUCUAUUACCAGUCAAAUGUACCUAUCUAUUCUCUUUGCCUUUCACCUGCCUUUAUAUAAUGUUUGU
Molecule: long non-coding RNA, 727 nt
Organism: Triticum aestivum (bread wheat)
Lineage: Eukaryota; Viridiplantae; Streptophyta; Magnoliopsida; Poales; Poaceae
Exons: 4
Source: RefSeq, a predicted model, not a curated record